Mirounga angustirostris (Northern elephant seal) is the source of this 362-nucleotide long non-coding RNA. RefSeq lists it as uncharacterized. Lineage: Eukaryota; Metazoa; Chordata; Mammalia; Carnivora; Phocidae. The transcript is spliced from 4 exons. The record is from RefSeq and is a predicted model, not a curated record.
CCGGUCGGCCCGCGGAGCCUGGUGCUGCGAGUGCAGCGAAGACCCCCAACAGCCCGAGCUUCUGUGGGUUUCCUCAAGAGCUUUCCGCCAUUGGCCAGUCUUUGAAAGCACUGUAGGAACGAUAAGGAACCCGAGGCUUAGAAAAAUAACCUGACAAAUACAAGUUCUCUGCUGGUGGAUAUCUGGAGAGUACACAGUGUCUCAACAUUGCAGGCAACAAUGAAAUGGACAUCUUUGAAUACAUAUAAUUGACUAGGGAACAGCCAGUAUCAAUCGCCAGACACAUGAGUGAAGAAGCCUUCAUAUUAUUCCAACUCCAGCCUUGGAGUCUUCUAGCUGAGGCUCCCUUCAUCACAGUAGAG